UACGAAGGGGGCUAGCGUUGCUCGGAAUCACUGGGCGUAAAGCGCACGUAGGCGGCUUUUUAAGUCAGGGGUGAAAUCCUGGAGCUCAACUCCAGAACUGCCUUUGAUACUGAGAAGCUCGAGUCCGGGAGAGGUGAGUGGAACUGCGAGUGUAGAGGUGAAAUUCGUAGAUAUUCGCAAGAACACCAGUGGCGAAGGCGGCUCACUGGCCCGGUACUGACGCUGAGGCGCGACAGCGUGGGGAGCAAACAGG
RNAcentral lists this ribosomal RNA (253 nucleotides) under uncultured bacterium. RNAcentral's name for it is "partial 16S ribosomal RNA". It matches the Rfam family "Bacterial small subunit ribosomal RNA", at positions 524 to 776 of the family's 1533-position model. The record is from RNAcentral.